UAACGCGAAGAACCUUACCUAAACUUGACAUACCUUGAAUUACCGUGUAAUGAGGGAAGCCCUUCGGGGCAAGGAUACAGGUGGUGCAUGGUUGUCGUCAGCUCGUGUCGUGAGAUGUUGGGUUAAGUCCCGCAACGAGCGCAACCCUUGUUGUUAAUUGCUAACAGGUUAAGCUGAGCACUUUAGCGAGACAGCCUAGGUUAACUAGGAGGAAGGUGGGGAUGACGUCAAAUCAUCAUGCCCCUUACGUUUAGGGCUACACACGUGCUACAAUGGUGAGAACAAAGAGAGGCAAACUAGCGAUAGUGAGCAAAACUUAGAAAACUCAUCUCAGUUCGGAUUGCAGGCUGAAACUCGCCUGUAUGAAGAUGGAGUUGCUAGUAAUCGCGAAUCAGAAUGUCGCGGUGAAUA
RNAcentral lists this ribosomal RNA (411 nucleotides) under uncultured bacterium. Its description in RNAcentral is "bacterial SSU rRNA". It matches the Rfam family "Bacterial small subunit ribosomal RNA", at positions 957 to 1368 of the family's 1533-position model. The record is from RNAcentral.